AUUGAACGCUGGCGGCAUGCUUUACGCAUGCAAGUCGAACGGUAACAGGCCUUCGGGUGCUGACGAGUGGCGAACGGGUGAGUAAUGCAUCGGAACGUGCCCAGAGGUGGGGGAUAACGCAGCGAAAGCUGUGCUAAUACCGCAUGUGAUCUGAGGAUGAAAGCGGGGGACCAGGCAGCAAUGUUUGGCCUCGCGCCUUUGGAGCGGCCGAUGUCAGAUUAGGUAGUUGGUGGGGUAAAGGCCUACCAAGCCGACGAUCUGUAGCUGGUCUGAGAGGACGACCAGCCACACUGGGACUUAGACACGGCCCAGACUCCUACGGGAGGCAGCAGUGGGGAAUUUUGGACAAUGGGCGCAAGCCUGAUCCAGCAAUGCCGCGUGCGGGAAGAAGGCCUUCGGGUUGUAAACCGCUUUUGUACGGAACGAAAAGGCUCUGGCUAAUACCUGGGGCUGAUGACGGUACCGUAAGAAUAAGCACCGGCUAACUACGUG
Molecule: ribosomal RNA, 492 nt
Filed under: uncultured bacterium
Lineage: Bacteria
Description: partial 16S ribosomal RNA
Rfam family: Bacterial small subunit ribosomal RNA
Source: RNAcentral